RNAcentral lists this transfer RNA (74 nucleotides) under Caudoviricetes sp. Its description in RNAcentral is "tRNA-Lys". The record is from RNAcentral. Lineage: Duplodnaviria; Heunggongvirae; Uroviricota; Caudoviricetes.
UUUCCUUGUUGGAAUGGUGCGCGGACUGCCUUUUAAGCAGUGGGUCCGGGGUUCGAAUCCCCGGCGGGUCACCA